RNAcentral lists this ribosomal RNA (500 nucleotides) under uncultured Myrionecta. RNAcentral describes it as "bacterial SSU rRNA". It matches the Rfam family "Eukaryotic small subunit ribosomal RNA", at positions 1214 to 1799 of the family's 1831-position model. Lineage: Eukaryota; Ciliophora; Litostomatea; Cyclotrichida; Mesodiniidae. The record is from RNAcentral.
CUUACCAGGUCAAGACAUGGGCGUGAUUGACAGGCUAAUGACUUUUCUCGAUUCCAUGGAUGGUGGUGCAUGGUCGCACUUAGUUGGUGCAGUGAUUUGUCAGGUUUAUUCCGGUAACGAACGAGACCUCGGCCUUGUAAAUAGCUAUGCUGCUUACAGGGACAUUGGCGGCUACGCCAAGGAAGCUCGAGGCAAUUGCAGAUCUGGAAUGCCCUUAGAUGUCCUGGGUCGCACGCGUGCUACAAUGACGCCACGAACGAGCUUGCGUGAUGAAAGUUACGCAUAAUCAGCAGUCGGCGUCUUAAGGGAUAGUCUCUUGUAACUGUGGGACUCCAACUAGGAAUGUCUCGUAAGCACAAGUCAACAUCUUGUGUUGAUUACGUCCCUGCUCUUUGUACACUCCGCCCGUCGCUCCUACCGAUCGAGUGUUUAGGUGAAAUUUGAUGGACGUAAGGAAGUCAAAUAAACCUGAGCACUAGAGGAAGGAGAAGUCGACAUGC